AUUACUGUGUGUAUGUCCGGAAAGGAAGGAGUGUACUGAACUACUGAUCAAGCACUUCAGCAGAAUCGAUGGUAGCAUUGCUUCUACCUCACGAAAUUAGAUGGCUCUUUUGCGGUCUUUCCUCUCUAUCAUCUUAACUUGUUUCCUUUUGUUUCAUUAGCAACUUAUCAACUUAUGUAUUUCGGUUUGUAAAACUUGAAUGGUUUUUCUAUGUGAACUUUUAUCCUAAGUUAAACAUUCUCGAAC
Brassica napus (rape) is the source of this 246-nucleotide long non-coding RNA. RefSeq lists it as uncharacterized. NCBI's taxonomy places the organism in Eukaryota, Viridiplantae, Streptophyta, Magnoliopsida, Brassicales, Brassicaceae. The transcript has 2 exons. The record is from RefSeq and is a predicted model, not a curated record.